RNAcentral lists this ribosomal RNA (437 nucleotides) under uncultured bacterium. RNAcentral describes it as "partial 16S ribosomal RNA". It matches the Rfam family "Bacterial small subunit ribosomal RNA", at positions 341 to 792 of the family's 1533-position model. The record is from RNAcentral.
ACGGGAGGCAGCAGUGGGGAAUAUUGGGCAAUGGGGGAAACCCUGACCCAGCAACGCCGCGUGAAGGAAGAAGGUCUUCGGAUUGUAAACUUCUGUCUUUAGGGACGAAACAAAUGACGGUACCUAAAGAGGAAGCCCCGGCUAACUACGUGCCAGCAGCCGCGGUAAUACGUAGGGGGCGAGCGUUGUCCGGAAUCAUUGGGCGUAAAGGGCGCGUAGGCGGAGAUAUGUGUCAGUUGUGAAAACUACAGGCUUAACUUGUAAAUUGCAGCUGAAACUGUAUCCCUUGAGUGCAGGAGAGGAAAGCGGAAUUCCCAGUGUAGCGGUGGAAUGCGUAGAUAUUGGGAGGAACACCAGUGGCGAAGGCGGCUUUCUGGACUGUAACUGACGCUGAGGCGCGAGAGCGUGGGGAGCAAACAGGAUUAGAUACCCUGGUA